This 462-nucleotide ribosomal RNA is filed under the name uncultured bacterium. RNAcentral's name for it is "partial 16S ribosomal RNA". It matches the Rfam family "Bacterial small subunit ribosomal RNA", at positions 29 to 507 of the family's 1533-position model. The record is from RNAcentral.
AGUGAACGCUGGCGGCGUGCCUAAUACAUGCAAGUCGAACGAACGAAUAAGAGCUUGCUCUUAUAAGUUAGUGGCGCACGGGUGAGUAAUAUAUAGCUAAUCUGCCUCUUAGUAGAGGAUAACAGUCGGAAACGAUUGCUAAUACUCUAUACUUCUGCUUUACAUAAGUAAAGUAGAGAAAGUUUUUCGCUAAGAGAUGAGGCUAUACUGUAUCAGCUAGUUGGUAAGGUAACGGCUUACCAAGGCUAUGACGCAUAACUGGUCUGAGAGGAUGAUCAGUCACAUUGGAACUGAGACACGGUCCAAACUCCUACGGGAGGCAGCAGUAGGGAAUAUUGCGCAAUGGGGGAAACCCGGACGCAGCAACGCCGCGUGGAGGAUGACACUUUUCGGAGCGUAAACUCCUUUUAUCGGGAAAGAAUAAUGACGGUACCCGAUGAAUAAGCACCGGCUAACUCCGUG